CCUACGGGAGGCAGCAGUGAGGAAUAUUGGUCAAUGGCCGUAAGCCUGAACCAGCCAAGUAGCGUGAGGGAUGACUGCCCUACGGGUUGUAAACUUCUUUUAUGAGGGGAUAAAGGUGUCCACGUGUGCAUGUUUGCAGGUACUUUAUGAAUAAGGACCGGCUAACUCCGUGCCAGCAGCCGCGGUAAUACGGAGGAUCCGGGCGUUAUCCGGAUUUAUUGGGUUUAAAGGGAGCGUAGGGGGGUCUUUAAGCGUGCUGUGAAAGUUUGUGGCUCAACCGUAAGAGUGCAGUGGAUACUGGCAGUCUUGAGUACACGUGAGGUAGGCGGAAUUCGUGGUGUAGCGGUGAAAUGCUUAGAUAUCACGAAGAACUCCGAUUGCGAAGGCAGCUUACCAAACCGUUACUGACAUUGAUGCUCGAAAGCGUGGGUAUCAAACAGGAUUAGAUACCCGUGUAGUC
Molecule: ribosomal RNA, 460 nt
Filed under: uncultured bacterium
Lineage: Bacteria
Description: partial 16S ribosomal RNA
Rfam family: Bacterial small subunit ribosomal RNA
Source: RNAcentral